Molecule: ribosomal RNA, 493 nt
Filed under: Cecilioides acicula (blind awlsnail)
Lineage: Eukaryota; Metazoa; Mollusca; Gastropoda; Stylommatophora; Ferussaciidae
Description: partial 16S ribosomal RNA
Source: RNAcentral
AGCUUUAUGAAUUUUUAUAUAAAGUGACUUCUGCCCAGUGAAUGUUAUUUUUUAACGGCCGCAGUACUUUGACUGUGCAAAGGUAGCAUAAUAAUUUGUCCUUUAAUUUAGGUCUAGUAUGAAUGAAUAUUUGAAGAAAUUCUGUCUUAAAUUAAAUUUUAUAGAAAUUACUUAAAGUGUGAAAAUUCACUUGAAUUUAAAAAGAAAGACGAGAAGACCCUUAGAGUUUUACAGAAAUUUAUAUAUCUUUUAUUUUUUUCUAGAAUUAUUUAUAAUUAAAAGUUUUGUUGGGGCGACAUAUAUUCAAUUUUAAUAAAACAAUAUCUUUUUAUAAUUUUUUAAAAAUAACAUGCCGAAUUAAUAUUAUGAAAGAUUAAACUACCUAAGGGAUAACAGCAUUAUCUUAUAAAUAGGAUUGUGACCUCGAUGUUGGACUAGGAAUUUACUGAUAAGCAAUCAAGUUAAUAUUGUUCUGUUCGAACAUAAUACUCCU